UACGUAGGGGGCUAGCGUUGUCCGGAUUUAUUGGGCGUAAAGAGCGUGUAGGCGGCCAGGUAGGUCUGCUGUGAAAACUCGAGGCUUAACCUCGAGAUGUCGGCGGAAACCAUCUGGCUAGAGUCCGGAAGAGGAGAGUGGAAUUCCUGGUGUAGCGGUGAAAUGCGCAGAUAUCAGGAGGAACACCGGUGGCGAAAGCGACUCACUGGACCGACACUGACGCUGAGGUGCGAAAGCUAGGGUAGCAAACGGG
Molecule: ribosomal RNA, 253 nt
Filed under: uncultured bacterium
Lineage: Bacteria
Description: partial 16S ribosomal RNA
Rfam family: Bacterial small subunit ribosomal RNA
Source: RNAcentral